This is a small nucleolar RNA of Gossypium arboreum, 107 nucleotides long. It matches the Rfam family "Plant small nucleolar RNA R71". Rfam says of the family: R71 is a member of the C/D box family of snoRNAs containing the C (UGAUGA) and D (CUGA) box motifs. Multiple nearly identical copies of this snoRNA have been identified in Arabidopsis, and it is thought to function as a 2'-O-ribose methylation guide for 18S ribosomal RNA. NCBI's taxonomy places the organism in Eukaryota, Viridiplantae, Streptophyta, Magnoliopsida, Malvales, Malvaceae. The record is from Rfam.
AAUCCAUGAUGAGGGCACAUUCUUAAUAAGUCAUAAUAUCUCUCCCAUGCAUCAUAUAAUGUCUCUAAAUUGAUUUUGGAAAAGGAAGAAAUGUCAUUCCUCAACUU